GCAUGUGGCGCUCGCACGCCUCCCCCUCGCCGUGCCCAGUGAACCCCGCGUCUCACCCUCGAAAAGGGAGAUGUGCGGUGCCCGGCCGCCGCCCCGUGCCGCUGCGGUUGAUGCCAGCGAGGGUGCUCCCGUACUUUGGCCGAGGCUGCACUCUCACAUCGUCUCCUCCCUGGCCCUUUCUUCCUCUUCGUCGGCACAGGAACGGGGGUCGCCGUAUUGGGCAGCAGUUCGCCGCCACACCUCACUAAUCUAUCUCCUCUAUCUUCGUUCCCACACUACAGGGCGCCAUGGCCAUGGACCAAAGCUCCGAUGGUCCUUCCCUCGCGACUGCCAGUCUUCCUCCCUACCAGAUUGACGACGAUGAUGACCGGAUCUUCCCCGCUGCCAUCCGUUUCCAGGAGACGUCAGCGGAUGGGGUUUCUUCCUCACGGCCUCCACCUACGGGCUCGCCGGGCCGGUGAUUAGACCUGCUCGGCAUGCGGGAUUGUGUCCUCUCCUAGCGAGGCGGUCGUGUGUCUUGCCCGUCACGCCCUCGGCUGUCGAGUCUUUUUCCUCGGCGCGCCCUCCUCCAGUAGCUCCGUCGCGUACGUGAACCAUCCAGGUGGGUAGGUUUGGUUCUGAUCUUAAAUUAUUUCCACAUUCAAAUUUUCUUCAUUUUGUUCAGAUUGAAUUUUGGGUUGUGUUUCGUUGAAGGCCCGAUUUCACCUGGUGAGAGCUGUUGAUCUCAAGUUUAAAGCUUAUAUCUGUUAGGUUCAAAACUGAAUUUUAUCAGAGGAAGUUCUGUGUGUUUGCAACCCUGCAACACCCAUUGCAUUUUUCUUCAGCAUGACCAACAACUCCACCACCUCCGAAGUUAACCAUGGCCAGCUACCCAAUAUAUUGUCCAGAUGCUUGACGGAUAGCAUCACCGCGGCACACAAUUUCGAGGUGGCCAGUUACCAGUUGCUGGAUGGCAUCGGGGUCGGCAAGCACGUUUGCUCAAGUUUCCUGCUCGCCUAGCAUCUGCCCGACCUCCCCAGCCAACCCAGCCACCCCCUCCGGGCUGAGCCCCUGUGCUGGUGGUCGACAAGAUUUUUUUAGUUAAUGAUGAGAUGUUUAGCCAUCCUCACUGGGGCUCCAAUCUGUGAGUAUGUUGGUGUGUUGAGGAGGACUGAAGAAGUGGGAGGUUCUAAAGAUGGACGGGAGGGCAGGGUCUGAUAUGCUUAUGCCAUCACUUCACGUUGAGAACGAUUCCGAGGCACCACCGCGCCGGAGGACUACAUCGAUGCUGGCUCUGUUGGAAGUUUCGCAAGGUUCAUAAACCACAGCUGCAACCGUAACCUCUUCGCCCAGUGUGUCCUAACAAAUCACCACGACGUCAAGCUACAAAAGGUAGCACCUGACAUCGACAGCUAUGACAUCAGGAACUCCCUCGCAGUUGUCGAAUACCUCGCUGAAAUUUAUAGCUUCUACAGACGGACCAAGUUGAGUUGUGAGCCCCCCACCUACAUGACACACCAAACUGAUAUCAAUGAGAAAAGGCGUAUUUUUCUGAUUGACUGGUUGAUUGAGUAUGCAGGUGCAGUACAAGCUUGAGCUACUGGGUGAAACACUAUUCCUUGCUGUCAACAUCAUUGAUAGAUCAAUGCAUAGAAAAGUAUGUCUCAAGUUUUCUCUUGAAUGGAACCUGCAAGUUUCUCAUCUGUUUAGUGAAGCUUACCUUGAAAAGAAUUAUAAAUACUACAGGAAGGAGAGUAAGAUAAUGACAGUUCAUUGGAAUAUGGAUUUUGAGAGGAUAUAUAUGGGUUUUGCUCUCUGUAAUUACAUAUUACUUUCCUUGCUGAUGCUAUUGCUCAUGUUAUAAAACUGGUCUACAUCGCACACAUGGUUUCCAGCAAAGAAAACAGUGUCAUGAUUUAUAAACUAGGCUUGUGUGCUCAAGUAAUA
Triticum aestivum (bread wheat) is the source of this 1926-nucleotide long non-coding RNA. RefSeq lists it as uncharacterized. The record is from RefSeq and is a predicted model, not a curated record. NCBI's taxonomy places the organism in Eukaryota, Viridiplantae, Streptophyta, Magnoliopsida, Poales, Poaceae. The transcript is spliced from 6 exons.